This is a long non-coding RNA of Triticum dicoccoides, 646 nucleotides long. RefSeq lists it as uncharacterized. The record is from RefSeq and is a predicted model, not a curated record. The transcript is spliced from 2 exons. NCBI's taxonomy places the organism in Eukaryota, Viridiplantae, Streptophyta, Magnoliopsida, Poales, Poaceae.
AUCUCUUGUGCGUGCGUGCUGGGCUGAUGGCCAUUCAGAGACCAUCGCCAUUGUUGACUGCUUAGGGACAACGCUCGCCGGCGUCUUGCCGCGUUCUGCUGCCACCGCUGCUGCGAGACUGAAGUCGUUCAGGAGGACGCCGAUGCGCCGCGUGCCGGCUGUGCGCCCUUGCCUGUAGGGGAGGCGUGCAACUACGGGGUGGAUGUGCGCGGUGGCCGGGCUGCGUGCCGGCUAUGCGCCGUGUGGUGGAGGACGCCGUCGUCGCCAAAUGCGGAGAAGCAUGUCCAUUGAUUCCUGCCAUGGAAGGGUUGUGGUUGAUCGAAUCGGCAGCGAUUGAAAUUCUCCUAUGCUGAAGCCGUGCGCGCUGGAUGGAGUCGUCAUCGUGAGUACAGGGGCAGACGCUGGCGCCGCCGUGACUAAUGUCGCCAUCCGCGCAAGACUCGAUGCUGCAGUCCGCCGCGCGAGAUAACGCCGGCAGCGCUGGGAAUCGCGCGAGGCGUCGAGGAGGUCUGGCCUAAUCGCUCUGUUAGGGCAAGGUGCUGAUAACGUGUUAAAGCAAACUGACUGAGAAUGAAUCUCUGGAUUUCAUUAAUGAUGAUUGGGGUACAUAUACCCUCCCAACAGCCGCUAAUUAAGGCGGUAAUUA